GGGCUUGACAUCCCACGAACCUGGCCGAAAGGCGGGGGUGCCCGCAAGGGAGCGCGGAGACAGGUGGUGCAUGGCUGUCGUCAGCUCGUGUCGUGAGAUGUUGGGUUAAGUCCCGCAACGAGCGCAACCCUUGCCCCUUGUUGCCAUCAGGUCAUGCUGGGCACUCUAGGGGAACUGCCCCGGUUAACGGGGAGGAAGGCGGGGAUGACGUCAAGUCAUCAUGCCCCUUACGCCCUGGGCUACACACGUGCUACAAUGGCCGGUACAAAGGGAUGCAAUACCGCGAGGUGGAGCUAAACCCAAAAAGCCGGUCUAAGUUCAGAUUGGAGUCUGCAACUCGACUCCAUGAAGGAGGAAUCGCUAGUAAUCGCGUAUCAGCACGACGCGGUGAAUACGUUCCCGGGCCUUGUACACACCGCCCGUCACACCACGAAAGCCAGCUGUACUCGAAGUCGCUGAG
This 460-nucleotide ribosomal RNA is filed under the name uncultured Methylomirabilota bacterium. RNAcentral describes it as "bacterial SSU rRNA". It matches the Rfam family "Bacterial small subunit ribosomal RNA", at positions 977 to 1434 of the family's 1533-position model. The record is from RNAcentral. Lineage: Bacteria; Methylomirabilota (SeqCode).